Molecule: non-coding RNA, 1483 nt
Organism: Ictidomys tridecemlineatus (thirteen-lined ground squirrel)
Lineage: Eukaryota; Metazoa; Chordata; Mammalia; Rodentia; Sciuridae
Source: RefSeq, a predicted model, not a curated record
GCACCGACUCAGGAGAGCUUGAGAGAUUUCCCUUCUGCGUGGAGCUGAGGGAUUUCUGAGAUGAGAAGUCUUGGAUGAUGUGACUAACCCCAUCCUUGGAUUAAACAGAACACGUGAGACACUUCAGAAAGGGAGGAGGAGGAGGAGGAGGAGCAGCAGGAGGAGAUGUUAGCAGGAUGCAGGCAUUUUUGCAGGAACUCCCCGUGCUUCCAGAGUGGGGGAAGCUGUGUCCUAUCCACCUGUGUCCUAUCCACCAGCAGGGGACACAGCUGUCCUAUCCAGCUGUGUCCCCUGCUGGGCUCCGUCAGUGCUGGAUUCUGUCAAGUGGGUCCCUCCAGAGAAGCUUACAAGGAACCAGCCAAGCCACUGGGUCACUCUGACACACCCAGGUAGGUGACCUGGAGUAAGCUCUGUUCACUUGUUCAUUGUAACACUACGUCCUCUGCCAAGGGAGGCUGCAUUUGGAUGGGGGCUGUGGGACUGGCACUGAGCAUGCUCAGGAAGGCGCCUGCCCGGGCUGGCCAAGGAGUCUUCCCCAUAGGAACAGGGUUUCCUGUGGGGCCCUGGCUGUCUUUGUUCUGGAGACACAGCUUGGAGAAUUGUCUCCAGGGGAUUCCUUUCUUGUGCUACUAAUAAAUCUUCCUCCACUGUUUUACCUCCCGCUUGUGCAUAGAAGCUUUGCACUCAACAAAGGGGCCCACUGUGUAGGGUCACAAAGCCCUUGACCCUACACUGAAUUCUAAACUGUGGGACACUGGGAACACGUUUUAACCGGCAGGAGAGCAACCCGGAAAGCCUGAGUCACCACACAAAUGAGAGCCAGAAUAAAGCCUACCUGAUAUUUUUAUUUUAACAUACCUGGGGAAGUACAGGCCAAAGAAUAUGAGGACCGAGGAAUACCUUCCAAAUAUUCCCAAAUUGAUGCUCAAACAACAAGGAGAUGAUCACACAUUUCCUGAAGGAGGUUGCUGGAACACUUACAGGUCAGGAGAGAGCCUACCUCAGUGAAGGACGUAGCAGAUCACAAGGAGCCUAUGCAUGUUGGAGGGCUUAAUCUAGUGAGAUGAAGCAGGGAGAAGCCAGCUCCAGGGAGAGCCACUGAGGACCUGGGUUCCACGUGUCAGAUUAAGGAAUGCAGCGUGGGAGGCUGAUGUGGCCCAUGAUUAUACAGCCAGCAGGUGUUGGGAUUCCAAGGCACAGAAAGCUCCGAGCACAUGACCCCAGAACUCUCCACUCGGUCACCUCCACAUUUUCUAGGAUUGUCUCCUUCUAAUAGGCUCAUUCCUGAAGUCAGCACUUUAUAAAAGUAUAUAUUCUAUUCACUCAUGACCUCAUGCAUGGUGUAAUUACAGAAUUCUACUAAUUUAGAAUAAUAUCAAAAUAAAGGAGUGGGAAUACACAUAAAAAGAGGAAAUAGUUUACGUAGAAAUUGAACUCCUAAAUGAACAUAUGGAAAAACUCUAAUAAGAUUGAUAUAACUUUA